CGCUCCCGGGAUUCUGAGGCGGUCGGCAUGGCCUGGAACCCUGGGGGCUGGCGCCGUGAUCACCUCCGGAGGCCAGCCACGCCAGCACCCGAUUCGACGCUCUGGACAACCAGGACAUAGCACGGGACCGGCGUCAGGGGCUGGGACCCAGGAGUGAGGAGGAGCAGCGGGGAUGAGGCCCAGUCCCCAAAGGGAAGGAAACCCUGCACUUCCCCAACUGAGUCUGGCUGUAAGACAACCCAGAAGGGAGAGGGCUGGCCUAAAGUGAACUGGAGCCCCAGCACCCUAAGCACUCCCUGAACAGCACCAACACACCUGCCCUCUGCUUUUCCUGAACACUUGGC
This is a long non-coding RNA of Leopardus geoffroyi (Geoffroy's cat), 344 nucleotides long. RefSeq lists it as uncharacterized. Lineage: Eukaryota; Metazoa; Chordata; Mammalia; Carnivora; Felidae. The transcript is spliced from 3 exons. The record is from RefSeq and is a predicted model, not a curated record.